GGGUUGUGAGGUUAAGCGACUAAGCGUACACGGUGGAUGCCCUGGCAGUCAGAGGCGAUGAAGGACGUGCUAAUCUGCGAAAAGCGUCGGUAAGGUGAUAUGAACCGUUAUAACCGGCGAUGUCCGAAUGGGGAAACCCAGUGCAAUUCGUUGCACUAUCGUUAACUGAAUACAUAGGUUAACGAGGCGAACCGGGGGAACUGAAACAUCUAAGUACCCCGAGGAAAAGAAAUCAACCGAGAUUCCCCCAGUAGCGGCGAGCGAACGGGGAGCAGCCCAGAGUCUGAAUCAGCUUGUGUGUUAGUGGAACGGUCUGGAAAGUCCGACGGUACAGGGUGAUAGUCCCGUACACCAAAAUGCACAGGCUGUGAACUCGAAGAGUAGGGCGGGACACGUGGUAUCCUGUCUGAAUAUGGGGGGACCAUCCUCCAAGGCUAAAUACUCCUGACUGACCGAUAGUGAACCAGUACCGUGAGGGAAAGGCGAAAAGAACCCCGGCGAGGGGAGUGAAAAAGAACCUGAAACCGUGUACGUACAAGCAGUGGGAGCACCUUCGGGUGUGACUGCGUACCUUUUGUAUAAUGGGUCAGCGACUUAUAUUCUGUAGCAAGGUUAACCGUAUAGGGGAGCCGCAGGGAAACCGAGUCUUAACUGGGCGUUAAGUUGCAGGGUAUAGACCCGAAACCCGGUGAUCUAGCCAUGGGCAGGUUGAAGGUUGGGUAACACUAACUGGAGGACCGAACCGACUAAUGUUGAAAAAUUAGCGGAUGACUUGUGGCUGGGGGUGAAAGGCCAAUCAAACCGGGAGAUAGCUGGUUCUCCCCGAAAGCUAUUUAGGUAGCGCCUCGUGAAUUCAUCUUCGGGGGUAGAGCACUGUUUCGGCUAGGGGGUCAUCCCGACUUACCAACCCGAUGCAAACUACGAAUACCGAAGAAUGUUAUCACGGGAGACACACGGCGGGUGCUAACGUCCGUCGUGAAGAGGGAAACAACCCAGACCGCCAGCUAAGGUCCCAAAGUCAUGGUUAAGUGGGAAACGAUGUGGGAAGGCACAGACAGCCAGGAUGUUGGCUUAGAAGCAGCCAUCAUUUAAAGAAAGCGUAAUAGCUCACUGGUCGAGUCGGCCUGCGCGGAAGAUGUAACGGGGCUAAACCAUGCACCGAAGCUGCGGCAGCGACACUAUGUGUUGUUGGGUAGGGGAGCGUUCUGUAAGCCUGCGAAGGUGACCUGUGAGGGUUGCUGGAGGUAUCAGAAGUGCGAAUGCUGACAUAAGUAACGAUAAAGCGGGUGAAAAGCCCGCUCGCCGGAAGACCAAGGGUUCCUGUCCAACGUUAAUCGGGGCAGGGUGAGUCGACCCCUAAGGCGAGGCCGAAAGGCGUAGUCGAUGGGAAACAGGUUAAUAUUCCUGUACUUGGUGUUACUGCGAAGGGGGGACGGAGAAGGCUAUGUUAGCCGGGCGACGGUUGUCCCGGUUUAAGCAUGUAGGCUGGUUAUCCAGGCAAAUCCGGAUAAUCAAGGCUGAGGUGUGAUGACGAGGCACUACGGUGCUGAAGUAACAAAUGCCCUGCUUCCAGGAAAAGCCUCUAAGCAUCAGGUAACAUCAAAUCGUACCCCAAACCGACACAGGUGGUCAGGUAGAGAAUACCAAGGCGCUUGAGAGAACUCGGGUGAAGGAACUAGGCAAAAUGGUGCCGUAACUUCGGGAGAAGGCACGCUGGUGUGUAGGUGAAGUCCCUGCGGAUGGAGCUGAGACCAGUCGAAGAUACCAGCUGGCUGCAACUGUUUAUUAAAAACACAGCACUGUGCAAACACGAAAGUGGACGUAUACGGUGUGACGCCUGCCCGGUGCCGGAAGGUUAAUUGAUGGGGUUAUCCGUAAGGAGAAGCUCUUGAUCGAAGCCCCGGUAAACGGCGGCCGUAACUAUAACGGUCCUAAGGUAGCGAAAUUCCUUGUCGGGUAAGUUCCGACCUGCACGAAUGGCGUAAUGAUGGCCAGGCUGUCUCCACCCGAGACUCAGUGAAAUUGAACUCGCUGUGAAGAUGCAGUGUACCCGCGGCAAGACGGAAAGACCCCGUGAACCUUUACUAUAGCUUGACACUGAACAUUGAGCCUUGAUGUGUAGGAUAGGUGGGAGGCUUUGAAGCGUGGACGCCAGUCUGCGUGGAGCCAACCUUGAAAUACCACCCUUUAAUGUUUGAUGUUCUAACGUUGGCCCCUGACCGGGGUUGCGGACAGUGUCUGGUGGGUAGUUUGACUGGGGCGGUCUCCUCCCAAAGCGUAACGGAGGAGCACGAAGGUUAGCUAAUCCUGGUCGGACAUCAGGAGGUUAGUGCAAUGGCAUAAGCUAGCUUGACUGCGAGCGUGACGGCGCGAGCAGGUGCGAAAGCAGGUCAUAGUGAUCCGGUGGUUCUGAAUGGAAGGGCCAUCGCUCAACGGAUAAAAGGUACUCCGGGGAUAACAGGCUGAUACCGCCCAAGAGUUCAUAUCGACGGCGGUGUUUGGCACCUCGAUGUCGGCUCAUCACAUCCUGGGGCUGAAGUAGGUCCCAAGGGUAUGGCUGUUCGCCAUUUAAAGUGGUACGCGAGCUGGGUUUAGAACGUCGUGAGACAGUUCGGUCCCUAUCUGCCGUGGGCGCUGGAGAAUUGAGGGGGGCUGCUCCUAGUACGAGAGGACCGGAGUGGACGCAUCACUGGUGUUCGGGUUGUCAUGCCAAUGGCACUGCCCGGUAGCUAAAUGCGGAAGAGAUAAGUGCUGAAAGCAUCUAAGCACGAAACUUGCCCCGAGAUGAGUUCUCCCUGAGACUUUAAGUCUCCUGAAGGAACGUUGAAGACGACGACGUUGAUAGGCCGGGUGUGUAAGCGCAGCGAUGCGUUGAGCUAACCGGUACUAAUGAACCGUGAGGCUUAACCUUACAACGCCGAAG
RNAcentral lists this ribosomal RNA (2923 nucleotides) under Klebsiella pneumoniae. Its description in RNAcentral is "bacterial LSU rRNA". It matches the Rfam family "Bacterial large subunit ribosomal RNA". The record is from RNAcentral. Lineage: Bacteria; Pseudomonadati; Pseudomonadota; Gammaproteobacteria; Enterobacterales; Enterobacteriaceae.